GAUGAACGCUGGCGGCGUGCUUAACACAUGCAAGUCGAACGGAAAGGCCAAGCUUGCUUGGGUACUCGAGUGGCGAACGGGGGAGGAACACGUGGGGGAUCUGCCCUGCACUUCGGGAUAAGCCUGGGAAACUGGGUCUAAUACCGGAUAGGAACACUUCUUGGGUGUUGUGGUGGAAAGUUUUUUCGGUGUGGGAUGAGCUCGCGGCCUAUCAGCUUGUUGGUGGGGUAAUGGCCUACCAAGGCGUCGACGGGUAGCCGGCCUGAGAGGGUGUACGGCCACAUUGGGACUGAGAUACGGCCCAGACUCCUACGGGAGGCAGCAGUGGGGAAUAUUGCACAAUGGGCGCAAGCCUGAUGCAGCGACGCCGCGUGGGGGAUGACGGCCUUCGGGUUGUAAACUCCUUUCGCUAGGGACGAAGCGUUUUGUGACGGUACCUGGAGAAGAAGCACCGGCUAACUACGUG
Molecule: ribosomal RNA, 466 nt
Filed under: uncultured bacterium
Lineage: Bacteria
Description: partial 16S ribosomal RNA
Rfam family: Bacterial small subunit ribosomal RNA
Source: RNAcentral